UUUAGCGAUCAUUUUCAUAUUGUUAAUCGUUUCAGAAACUUCAAACGCAAAACUAUUCGAUUCCAGGAAGUUAGUUGAUUUGGCUCCAAUACAAAGCACCAAUUCAUCUUCUGAACAGAUUUCUGCAUCAAAUACUCCAGUUGAGGGUGAAAAGGAAGUCAAUGGAAGCACAGUCAAUGAUAACAAGUCUGUUAUCGCAAAAGAGAAGCCUGAAAAUCCUAAGGGAAACAAUGAUCCACCAAAAACAAGGCCAGAGGAACUAAAUUCAACUUUAG
RNAcentral lists this unclassified non-coding RNA (275 nucleotides) under Hevea brasiliensis (rubber tree). Lineage: Eukaryota; Viridiplantae; Streptophyta; Magnoliopsida; Malpighiales; Euphorbiaceae. The record is from RNAcentral.